Molecule: ribosomal RNA, 440 nt
Filed under: uncultured bacterium
Lineage: Bacteria
Description: partial 16S ribosomal RNA
Rfam family: Bacterial small subunit ribosomal RNA
Source: RNAcentral
CCUACGGGUGGCAGCAGUGAGGAAUAUUGGGCAAUGGGGGCAACCCUGACCCAGCCAUGCCGCGUGAGUGAAGAAGGUCUUCGGAUUGUAAAGCUCUUUCGGACGUGACGAGGAUGACGGUAGCGGCGAAAGAAGCAACGGCAAACGUCGUGCCAGCAGCCGCGGUAAUACGAAGGGGGCGAGCGUUGUUCGGAAUUACUGGGCGUAAAGGGAGUGUAGGCGGAUAUGGAAGAUAGCGGUGAACUGCCGGGGCUCAACCCCGGAACUGCCAUUAUGACUAUGUAUCUAGAGUAAUGGAGAGGCUAGCGGAAUACCCAGUGUAGAGGUGAAAUUCGUAGAUAUUGGGUAGAACACCGGUGGCGAAGGCGGCUAUCUGGCCAUUUCCUGACGCUGAGGCUCGAAAGCCUGGGGAUCAAACAGGAUUAGAUACCCGUGUAGUC